ACCCAGCCAACGCAGCCUUGCCCGCCGGAGGAGCUCACCGAUGGGACUUACAUAGACAAACACACAGACACUCAUAGACACACAGAGACUCAUAGACACGCUGGUGAAUGGUUUCAACAUAUCACUGUCUCAUCAGCAGCAGCAGCAGCAGGGUGAUCUUCCCAGAUGAUUAUAGACAGAUAAUGGUUUCAACAUAUCACUGUCUCAUCAUCAUCAUCAUCAGCAGCAGGGUGAUCUUCCCAGAUGAUUAUAGACAGAUAAUGGUUUCAACAUAUCACUGUCUCAUCAUCAUCAUCAUCAGCAGCAGGGUGAUCUUCCCAGAUGAUUAUAGACAUAAUGGUUUCAACAUAUCACUGUCUCAUCAUCAUCAUCAGCAGCAGGGUGAUCUUCCCAGAUGAUUAUAGACAGAUAUUGGUUUCAACAUAUCACUGUCUCAUCAUCAUCAUCAGCAGCAGGGUGAUCUUCCCAGAUGAUCAUAGACAGAUAAUAGUUUCAACAUAUCACUGUUUCAUCAUCAGCAGCAAGGUGAUCUUCCCAGAUGAUUAUAGACAGAUAAUGGUUUCAACAUAUCACUGUCUCAUCAUCAGCAACAGCAGCAGCAGGGUCAGCUAAGAAUCAACGCUGGUGACCUCCCCAGAUGAUUAUAGACAGAUAAUGGUUUCAACAUAUCACUGUCUCAUCAUCAGCAGCAGGGUGAUCUUCCCAGAUGUUUAUAGACAGAUUAUAGUUUAAACAUAUCACUGUCUCAUCAGCAGCAGCAGCAGCAGCUAGGUGAUCUUCCCAGAUGAUUAUAGACAUAAUAGUUUCAACAUAUCACUGUUUCAUCAUCAGCAGCAGGGUGAUCUUCCCAGAUGAUUAUAGACAGAUAAUAGUUUAAACAUAUCACUGUCUCAUCAUCAUCAUCAGCAGCAGGGUGAUCUUCCCAGAUGAUUAUAGACAGAUAAUAGUUUCAACAUAUCACUGUCUCAUCAUCAUCAUCAGCAGCAAGGUGAUCUUCCCAGAUGAUUAUAGACAGAUAAUAGUUUCAACAUAUCACUGUUUCAUCAUCAGCAGCAAGGUGAUCUUCCCAGAUGAUUAUAGACAGAUAAUAGUUUCAACAUAUCACUGUUUCAUCAUCAGCAGCAAGGUGAUCUUCCCAGAUGAUUAUAGACAGAUAAUGGUUUCAACAUAUCACUGUCUCAUCAUCAGCAGCAGGGUGAUCUUCCCAGAUGAUUAUAGACAGAUAAUGGUUUCAACAUAUUACUGUCUCAUCAUCAUCAGCAGCAGGGUGAUCUUCCCAGAUGAUUAUAGACAGAUAAUAGUUUCAACAUAUCACUGUCUCAUCAUCAUCAUCAGCAGCAGGGUGAUCUUCCCAGAUGAUUAUAGACAGAUAAUGGUUUCAACAUAUCACUGUCUCAUCAUCAGCAGCAGGGUGAUCUUCCCAGAUGAUUAUAGACAGAUAAUGGUUUCAACAUAUCACUGUCUCAUCAUCAUCAGCAGCAGCAGGGUCAGCUAAGAAUCAACGCUGGUGACCUGUACGCCAAUUUAUAUUUUGCACAAGUUCUAAUGAAAUAUACGUGCACGUG
Molecule: non-coding RNA, 1565 nt
Organism: Petromyzon marinus (sea lamprey)
Lineage: Eukaryota; Metazoa; Chordata; Hyperoartia; Petromyzontiformes; Petromyzontidae
Source: RefSeq, a predicted model, not a curated record